Molecule: ribosomal RNA, 478 nt
Filed under: uncultured bacterium
Lineage: Bacteria
Description: partial 16S ribosomal RNA
Rfam family: Bacterial small subunit ribosomal RNA
Source: RNAcentral
GACGAACGCUGGCGGCGUGCUUAACACAUGCAAGUCGAACGGUAAGGCCCUUCGGGGUACACGAGUGGCGAACGGGCGAGUAACACGUGGGUAACCUGCCCUUUACUUUGGGAUAACUACCAUAAAUGGUGGCUCAUACCGAAUAUGACUCCUGCCUGCAUGGGCGGGGGUGGCAAGCUUCGGCGGUAAGGGAUGGACUCGCGGCCUAUCAGCUUGUUGGUGAGGUAGUGGCUCACCAAGGCGUCGACGGGUAGCCGGCCUGAGAGGGUGACCGGUCACAGUGGGACUGAGAUACGGCCCAGACUCCUACGGGAGGCAGCAGUGGGGAAUAUUGCGCAAUGGGCGGAAGCCUGACGCAGCAACGCCGCGUGCGGGAUGACGGCCUUCGGGUUGUAAACCGCUUUCAGCAGGGACGAAGCUUUUGUGACGGUACCUGCAGAAGAAGCACCGGCCAACUACGUGCCAGCCGCCGCCGUAA